UUUGACCCAAUGAGUUAAUAUACGUUAAUUGUUGCUUUGGUUCAGAUACCAUAUCAAUAUUGUAACUUUUUCUUUUUUGGUCAUAAUUCCAAUGUCACAUUAAGCAAGACGAAAUGCACGUCCCAAAGCUUAUAUCAAAGUAUUUGGAUUUGAACUGGUUUCCAUUUUUAAGUGUUACGUAGGUUCCAUAUUUGAAUCAUUUUUCACAAUAUCUCUCUUGUCAUUUUCAAUUUCAUCACUUUGAACAUAACCUCAAUCAUUUACAUGAUUUUUAGAAUUCCAACCAGAAAU
RNAcentral lists this long non-coding RNA (291 nucleotides) under Gossypium barbadense (sea-island cotton). Its description in RNAcentral is "long non-coding RNA (GBAR_LNC014741)". The record is from RNAcentral. Lineage: Eukaryota; Viridiplantae; Streptophyta; Magnoliopsida; Malvales; Malvaceae.